Molecule: ribosomal RNA, 433 nt
Filed under: uncultured bacterium
Lineage: Bacteria
Description: partial 16S ribosomal RNA
Rfam family: Bacterial small subunit ribosomal RNA
Source: RNAcentral
AGCGAACGCUGGCGGCAGGCCUAACACAUGCAAGUCGAACGAACUCUUCGGAGUUAGUGGCGGACGGGUGAGUAACACGUGGGAACGUGCCUUUUGGUUCGGAAUAACUCAGGGAAACUUGUGCUAAUACCGAAUGUGCCCUUCGGGGGAAAGAUUUAUCGCCAUUAGAGCGGCCCGCGUCUGAUUAGCUAGUUGGUGAGGUAACGGCUCACCAAGGCGGCGAUCAGUGGCUGGUCUGAGAGGAUGACCAGCCACACUGGGACUGAGACACGGCCCAGACUCCUACGGGAGGCAGCAGUGGGGAAUCUUGCGCAAUGGGCGAGAGCCUGACGCAGCCAUGCCGCGUGAAUGAUGAAGGUGUUAGGAUUGUAAAAUUCUUUCACCGGGGACGAUAAUGACGGUACCCGGAGAAGAAGCCCCGGCUAACUACGUG